This is a non-coding RNA of Aegilops tauschii subsp. strangulata, 1908 nucleotides long. Lineage: Eukaryota; Viridiplantae; Streptophyta; Magnoliopsida; Poales; Poaceae. The record is from RefSeq and is a predicted model, not a curated record.
ACAUAUCUCUCUCUAAUAAUAAAGCAUGGAUUGACUUUGUCGGGUUCACCGUCACAAUACGCUUUCUUCCGUAAAUUUACAUUUUCACUUUGAGUUUAAAACAUAUAGGCGAGGUGGUACUAAUUCAGAUAACCAUGACUAUGCAUGCGGUGCCGGGUCACAGGCGUCAUGCAUCCAAUCUCCAAAAACACGCAAACAUGGAAUCUGACAAACGAUGUGUUGCCGCAGCAGACUCGGCCUCCUUCCUAUUCUUUCGUCGAUCUCCCUCGACUUGGGCUUCGUACAUCGAGAUCGAGAGAGGCUCUUACCUGGGAGGCUGGGAGAGAGCAGUCAGGCGGCGGCGGCUCGAAGCACAGUCAGGCAAUGGUGGGCAAGUAGAUAAAAGACCUAGCGAGUCGAUCCCCAUCUCCCUCGACUCGAUCCCUCGAUCACGCAGGUCGCGUACGGUGCUCCUCUCUCCCUCGAUCCUUUCUUUCCCCGUCGCGCCGCACCCACCCACAGCCCACCAUCGAUCCUGCAGCCCUUCGGCGCUCCUCUCGCUGACCACCACCGUCGCCUCCCCCAAGGCCACCGGCGCCGCGUCUGUGCCACCUCCUCCCUCACCGGCCUCAAGCCCCUUCUCCAGCGCCUUCCCUCUCCUCUGCAGCGGGAUGGUGAGGGGAGGACAUGAGAGGGUGGACGCGGCGGAACGGGACGACCAUCUGAUGUCUUCGGUGUGGUAGCCCAACCCACCACUCCUCAUGCGAACACGACGAAGGACAGAGGACCAUCUAACUACGUUCCGCAGGUGAUGGAAUUGGAGAAGCAACUUUGUUCAGAAGGUCGAUGGACUGAGGACCGAGGAACUACGGAUGCUGUGGCGGAGGCCGUGGAGACUACUCAGCCUUGGUGCAGAAUCUUGGCAGACCACUCAUGGUGCAUUCCUCUCUCUUCCUUCUCGAUUGAACUAUUUGUGUGUCAUCCCCUUCUAUGAUUGAAGUACAACAUGCAGAUACCUAAUGGACACUGUCUCUGAACUUUCACCCCCAUCUAAUGGUGGAAAUAAAGCAGUCAAUACUUCAGUCAAGCCAUUAGUUGUCUAAUGUCAAGCGACAUCCCAUCACUUGGACCCAGGAAUCGCUGCCCUCCAAACCGUACCUCGCGCAACCUUGUCGAGCAAUUGAAAAAUUACAUGAAGUUGUAUAAUUUGGUCUAAACGUUAUCAUAUAUUCAGCAAUAAUUCAAAAACUAAUGUUAAAUAUACUAUAUGAACUGUUUUUAUAUUUUGUAGGGUGUGCUAUGGCACCCAUGGAAACCCCCUAGAUCCUUCACUGGACAUUAUGCAUGCAGACAAUGAUAAGAGGAAAUCAGUAUUAAUAGCAUGAUUUUCUGACUUACUUGGCUUGGUAUGGCACUGCCGUAUACUUGGAGACACUGUGCGGGUGCUACUUUUGGUACAAUGUCAUGGCGGCUGUGAAUCUAUUAGUGAAAGAGGUCAAGACGAGUGCCUCCUUCUCCAUCAUGGUUUGUGGUGAUCUGCAGAAUCCGUCAACUCUUGCCAAGAGGUUCUAGCUUCAAACCUGACUCUUCUAGUAGCUGGAUCGUUGCACGCGUGGAAUUGAUCGUAGUCACAUAUGUGCAGAGGCCAUGGCGGCAGGUGGCCAUGGCGCAGGUCGACAGGCAAAGAAGCCGCCCGAGGAGGCGGCUCCCGCUGCACCAUCGGAGAAGUGAUCCGUCCAUCAGAUGACGAGGUUCCUCAGUUACACCUGCAGCUUAAAAGUUGUUCCUUUCUGUUUUUGCAGAUCUUAAAUUCAAUGUAGUACAGAACACCCACAAAAUCAUCACAAUGAUGAAUUACUCUGAUGUAUCAUCUGUUCAUGAAUUAACUGUCAAAUGGGAAGAAAUGUGAUGUUCAAUUUCCAUUGAUAA